UGGGGAAUCUUGGACAAUGGGCGCAAGCCUGAUCCAGCCAUGCCGCGUGAGUGAAGAAGGCCUUAGGGUUGUAAAGCUCUUUUACCAGGGACGAUAAUGACGGUACCUGGAGAAUAAGCCCCGGCAAACUUCGUGCCAGCAGCCGCGGUAAUACGAAGGGGGCUAGCGUUGUUCGGAAUUACUGGGCGUAAAGCGCACGUAGGCGGGUCGUUAAGUCAGGGGUGAAAUCCCGGAGCUCAACUCCGGAACUGCCUUUGAUACUGGCGAUCUAGAGAUCGAGAGAGGUGAGUGGAAUUCCGAGUGUAGAGGUGAAAUUCGUAGAUAUUCGGAAGAACACCAGUGGCGAAGGCGGCUCACUGGCUCGAUACUGACGCUGAGGUGCGAAAGCGUGGGGAGCAAACAGGAUUAGAUACCCCCGUAGUCCCUGAGCGGGCUGGCAAGGCGCAU
Molecule: ribosomal RNA, 447 nt
Filed under: uncultured bacterium
Lineage: Bacteria
Description: bacterial SSU rRNA
Rfam family: Bacterial small subunit ribosomal RNA
Source: RNAcentral